Molecule: ribosomal RNA, 468 nt
Filed under: uncultured bacterium
Lineage: Bacteria
Description: partial 16S ribosomal RNA
Rfam family: Bacterial small subunit ribosomal RNA
Source: RNAcentral
GACGAACGCUGGCGGCGUGCUUAACACAUGCAAGUCGAACGGAAAGGCCCUGCUUUUGUGGGGUGCUCGAGUGGCGAACGGGUGAGUAACACGUGAGUAACCUGCCCUUGACUUUGGGAUAACUUCAGGAAACUGGGGCUAAUACCGGAUAGGAGCUCCUGCUGCAUGGUGGGGGUUGGAAAGUUUCGGCGGUUGGGGAUGGACUCGCGGCUUAUCAGCUUGUUGGUGGGGUAGUGGCUUACCAAGGCUUUGACGGGUAGCCGGCCUGAGAGGGUGACCGGGCACAAUGGGCCUACGGUACGGCCCAGACUCCUACGGGAGGCAGCAGUGGGGAAUAUUGCACAAUGGGCGGAAGCCUGAUGCAGCAACGCCGCGUGCGGGAUGACGGCCUUCGGGUUGUAAACCGCUUUCGCCUGUGACGAAGCGUGAGUGACGGUAAUGGGUAAAGAAGCACCGGCUAACUACGUG